CUGCAAGUCGAGCGAGACCGCGAAGAGCUUGCUCUUUCGGUUCAGCGGCGGACGGGUGAGUAACACGUGGGCAACCUGCCCUGCACAUCGGGAUAACUCCGGGAAACCGGUGCUAAUACCGGAUAGUUUGUUUCACCUCCUGGUGAGGCACGGAAAGACGGUUUCGGCUGUCACUGCAGGAUGGGCCCGCGGCGCAUUAGCUAGUUGGUGGGGUAAUGGCCCACCAAGGCGACGAUGCGUAGCCGACCUGACAGGGUGAUCGGCCACACUGGGACUGACACACGGCCCAGACUCCUACGGGAGGCAGCAGUAGGGAAUCUUCCGCAAUGGACGCAAGUCUGACGGAGCAACGCCGCGUGAGUGACGAAGGUUUUCGGAUCGUAAAACUCUGUUGUGAGGGAAGAACACGUACCAGGUAACUACUGGUACCUUGACGGUACCUCACCAGAAAGCCACGGCUAACUACGUGCCAGCAUCCGCGGUAAUACAUAGGUGGCAAGCGUUGUCCGGAAUUAUUGGGCGUAAAGCGCGCGCAGGCGGUCCUUUAACUCUGAUGUGAAAGCCCACGGCUCAACCGUGGAGGGUCAUUGGAAACUGGAGGACUUGAGUGCAGAAGAGGAAAGUGGAAUUCCAUGUGUAACGGUGAAAUGCGUAGAGAUGUGGAGGAACACCACUGGCGAAGGCGACUUUCUGGUCUGUAACUGACGCUGAGCGCGAAAGCGUGGGGAGCAAACAGGAUUAGAUACCCUGGUAAUCCACGCCAUAUACGAUG
Molecule: ribosomal RNA, 772 nt
Filed under: uncultured Planomicrobium sp.
Lineage: Bacteria; Bacillati; Bacillota; Bacilli; Caryophanales; Caryophanaceae
Description: bacterial SSU rRNA
Rfam family: Bacterial small subunit ribosomal RNA
Source: RNAcentral